AUAAAAACUCCAUGUUUAUCUUCUUUAGGGCAUUAGAGUACUUCUCCCAUCUCUCUAGACUACGUAUAUUAACUCUGAGCUCACUCAGAAGACAAGAAGGAUUUUAAAAGCAUUGGCAUCUCUGCAAAUAAGAAAAAAGUACAAGGGAAAGACAAGAACAGACCAGGAAAUGGACACAUGCAACAAGUCUCAGGAGGAAGAUACCUGAAGUAUCUGAACUUAAUGAUAAAGGAUCACAUCUGGGAGGCCAUCAUAGUGAAUAAGCAAAUGGAAAUACUACUAUGGGAACUAAGUGAGUACAUUCAGAGAAGUCUCAGACCAGAGGAAAGCAAGAGUUCCAUCCUGUUUGUCUUCAAGAAUGUUGCUUAAUGUCUUUUAAAUUAGACUGUCUUCUCCUAACCCUGCUUCCUGAAAUAUUCAGUCUUUGCUUACGCUUUAUUUUUGCACAAGAG
This 452-nucleotide long non-coding RNA is filed under the name Coturnix japonica (Japanese quail). RNAcentral describes it as "lncRNA (ENSCJPG00005017002.1)". Lineage: Eukaryota; Metazoa; Chordata; Aves; Galliformes; Phasianidae. The record is from RNAcentral.